CCUACGGGUGGCAGCAGUGAGGAAUAUUGGUCAAUGGACGAGAGUCUGAACCAGCCAAGUAGCGUGAAGGAUGACUGCCCUAUGGGUUGUAAACUUCUUUUAUAAAGGAAUAAAACGAGGCACGUGUGCCUUUUUGUAUGUACUUUAUGAAUAAGGAUCGGCUAACUCCGUGCCAGCAGCCGCGGUAAUACGGAGGAUCCGAGCGUUAUCCGGAUUUAUUGGGUUUAAAGGGAGCGUAGAUGGGUUGUUAAGUCAGUUGUGAAAGUUUGCGGCUCAACCGUAAAAUUGCAAUUGAUACUGGCAGUCUUGAGUACAGUUGAGGUAGGCGGAAUUCGUGGUGUAGCGGUGAAAUGCUUAGAUAUCACGAAGAACCCCGAUUGCGAAGGCAGCUUACUAAACUGUGACUGACAUUGAUGCUCGAAAGUGUGGGUAUCAAACAGGAGUAGAUACCCGUGUAGUC
Molecule: ribosomal RNA, 460 nt
Filed under: uncultured bacterium
Lineage: Bacteria
Description: partial 16S ribosomal RNA
Rfam family: Bacterial small subunit ribosomal RNA
Source: RNAcentral